This 2873-nucleotide ribosomal RNA is filed under the name Stenotrophomonas maltophilia. Its description in RNAcentral is "bacterial LSU rRNA". It matches the Rfam family "Bacterial large subunit ribosomal RNA". Lineage: Bacteria; Pseudomonadati; Pseudomonadota; Gammaproteobacteria; Lysobacterales; Lysobacteraceae. The record is from RNAcentral.
GUUAUAUGGUCAAGCGAAUAAGCGCACACGGUGGAUGCCUUGGCGGUCAGAGGCGAUGAAGGACGUGGCAGCCUGCGAAAAGUAUCGGGGAGCUGGCAACAAGCUUUGAUCCGGUAAUGUCCGAAUGGGGAAACCCACCCGCUUGCGGGUAUCCUGCAGUGAAUACAUAGCUGCUGGAAGCGAACCUGGUGAACUGAAAUAUCUAAGUAACCAGAGGAAAAGAAAUCAACCGAGAUUCCGUAAGUAGCGACGAGCGAACGCGGACUAGCCCUUAAGCUGAUUUGGUUCUAGGAAAACGCUCUGGAAAGAGCGGCCAUAGAAGGUGAUAGCCCUGUAUCUGAAAGGGCCAUUUCAGUGAAGACGAGUAGGGCGGGGCACGUGAAACCCUGUCUGAACAUGGGGGGACCAUCCUCCAAGGCUAAAUACUACUGACCGACCGAUAGUGAACCAGUACCGUGAGGGAAAGGCGAAAAGAACCCCGGAGAGGGGAGUGAAAUAGAACCUGAAACCGUGUGCGUACAAGCAGUAGGAGCUCCGCAAGGAGUGACUGCGUACCUUUUGUAUAAUGGGUCAGCGACUUACUGUUCGUGGCAAGCUUAACCGUAUAGGGGAGGCGAAGGGAAACCGAGUCUGAUAAGGGCGCAUAGUCGCGGGCAGUAGACCCGAAACCGGGUGAUCUAGUCAUGCCCAGGGUGAAGGUGCGGUAACACGCACUGGAGGCCCGAACCCACUCCCGUUGCAAAGGUAGGGGAUGAGGUGUGAUUAGGAGUGAAAAGCUAAUCGAACCCGGAGAUAGCUGGUUCUCCUCGAAAGCUAUUUAGGUAGCGCCUCAUAUGUAUCCUCUCGGGGGUAGAGCACUGUUAUGGCUAGGGGGUCAUCGCGACUUACCAAACCAUUGCAAACUCCGAAUACCGAGACGGACUGUAUGGGAGACACACGGCGGGUGCUAACGUCCGUCGUGAAAAGGGAAACAACCCAGACCCACAGCUAAGGUCCCAAAUUUUGUGCUAAGUGGAAAACCAUGUGGAAAGGCACAGACAGCCAGGAGGUUGGCUUAGAAGCAGCCACCCUUUAAAGAAAGCGUAAUAGCUCACUGGUCGAGUCGGUCUGCGGGGAAGAUUUAACGGGGCUAAGCACAGAACCGAAGCUUGGGGUGCAUAACUUUGUUAUGCGCGGUAGAGGAGCGUUCCGUAAGCCGUUGAAGGUGGAUUGAGAAGUCUGCUGGAGGUAUCGGAAGUGCGAAUGCUGACAUGAGUAACGAUAAUGCGGGUGAAAAACCCGCACGCCGAAAGCCCAAGGUUUCCUUGCGCAACGUUAAUCGGCGCAGGGUGAGUCGGCCCCUAAGGCGAGGACGAAAGUCGUAGUCGAUGGGAAGCAGGUUAAUAUUCCUGCACCUCGCGUAAGUGCGAUGGAGGGACGGAGAAGGUUAGGUGUACCAGGCGUUGGUUGUCCUGGGGAAAGGCGGUAGGUUUGGAUCUUUGGCAAAUCCGGGAUCCUCUAAGACCGAGCACCGAGACGAGCCUUUAUGGCGAAGUCACUGAUACCACGCUUCCAGGAAAAGCUCCUAAGCUUCAGCUUACGCAGACCGUACCGUAAACCGACACAGGUGGGUAGGAUGAGAAUUCUCAGGCGCUUGAGAGAACUCGGGUGAAGGAACUAGGCAACAUGGCACCGUAACUUCGGGAGAAGGUGCACCCUUUUUGGUGGCUCGUGCGAGCUAUAGCUGAAGAGGGUCGCAGUAACCAGGCCGCUGCGACUGUUUAUCAAAAACACAGCACUCUGCAAACACGAAAGUGGACGUAUAGGGUGUGACGCCUGCCCGGUGCUGGAAGGUUAAUUGAUGGGGUCAGCCGCAAGGCGAAGCUCUUGAUCGAAGCCCCAGUAAACGGCGGCCGUAACUAUAACGGUCCUAAGGUAGCGAAAUUCCUUGUCGGGUAAGUUCCGACCUGCACGAAUGGCGUAACGACAGCGGCGCUGUCUCCACCCGAGACUCAGUGAAAUUGAAAUCGCUGUGAAGAUGCAGCGUUCCCGUGGCAAGACGGAAAGACCCCGUGAACCUUUACUAUAGCUUUACACUGAACGUUGAGUUCGUCUGUGUAGGAUAGGUGGGAGGCUAUGAAACCAUGGCGCUAGCUGUGGCGGAGCCAUCCUUGAAAUACCACCCUGUCGUGCUUGACGUUCUAACCUGGGCCCAUUAUCUGGGUCGGGGACCGUGUAUGGUGGGUAGUUUGACUGGGGCGGUCUCCUCCUAAAGAGUAACGGAGGAGCUCGAAGGUACGCUCAGCGCGGUCGGACAUCGCGCACUGUGUGCAAAGGCAUAAGCGUGCUUGACUGCAAGAUCGACGGAUCAAGCAGGUAGGAAACUAGGACUUAGUGAUCCGGUGGUUCUGUAUGGAAGGGCCAUCGCUCAACGGAUAAAAGGUACUCCGGGGAUAACAGGCUGAUACCGCCCAAGAGUUCAUAUCGACGGCGGUGUUUGGCACCUCGAUGUCGGCUCAUCACAUCCUGGGGCUGUAGUCGGUCCCAAGGGUAUGGCUGUUCGCCAUUUAAAGUGGUACGCGAGCUGGGUUCAGAACGUCGUGAGACAGUUCGGUCCCUAUCUGCCAUGGGCGUUGGAGAUUUGAGAGGGGCUGCUCCUAGUACGAGAGGACCGGAGUGGACGAACCUCUGGUGUUCCGGUUGUCACGCCAGUGGCAUUGCCGGGUAGCUAUGUUCGGAAGCGAUAACCGCUGAAAGCAUCUAAGCGGGAAGCGCGCCUCAAGAUGAGAUCUCCCGGGGCACAAGCCCCCUGAAGGAACCAUGUAGACUACGUGGUUGAUAGGUCAGGUGUGUAAGUACAGCAAUGUAUUGAGCUAACUGAUACUAAUGAUCCG